RNAcentral lists this ribosomal RNA (484 nucleotides) under uncultured bacterium. Its description in RNAcentral is "partial 16S ribosomal RNA". It matches the Rfam family "Bacterial small subunit ribosomal RNA", at positions 30 to 507 of the family's 1533-position model. The record is from RNAcentral.
AUUGAACGCUGGCGGCAGGCCUAACACAUGCAAGUCGAGCGGAUGAAGGGAGCUUGCUCCUGGAUUCAGCGGCGGACGGGUGGGUAAUGCCUAGGAAUCUGCCUGGUAGUGGGGGAUAACGUCCGGAAACGGGCGCUAAUACCGCAUACGUCCUGAGGGAGAAAGUGGGGGAUCUUCGGACCUCACGCUAUCAGAUGAGCCUAGGUCGGAUUAGCUAGUUGGUGGGGUAAAGGCCUACCAAGGGGACGAUCCGUAACUGGUCUGAGAGGAUGAUCAGUCACACUGGAACUGAGACACGGUCCAGACUCCUACGGGAGGCAGCAGUGGGGAAUAUUGGACAAUGGGCGAAAGCCUGAUCCAGCCAUGCCGCGUGUGUGAAGAAGGUCUUCGGAUUGUAAAGCACUUUAAGUUGGGAGGAAGGGCAGUAAGUUAAUACCUUGCUGUUUUGACGUUACCAACAGAAUAAGCACCGGCUAACUUCGUG